RNAcentral lists this ribosomal RNA (439 nucleotides) under uncultured bacterium. Its description in RNAcentral is "partial 16S ribosomal RNA". It matches the Rfam family "Bacterial small subunit ribosomal RNA", at positions 338 to 795 of the family's 1533-position model. The record is from RNAcentral.
CCUACGGGAGGCAGCAGUGGGGAAUAUUGCACAAUGGGGGAAACCCUGAUGCAGCGACGCCGCGUGAGUGAAGAAGUAUUUCGGUAUGUAAAGCUCUAUCAGCAGGGAAGAAAAUGACGGUACCUGAUUAAGAAGCCCCGGCUAACUACGUGCCAGCAGCCGCGGUAAUACGUAGGGGGCAAGCGUUAUCCGGAUUUACUGGGUGAAAAGGGAGCGUAGACGGCAGCACAAGUCUGGAGUGAAAUGCCGGGGCUUAACCCCGGAACUGCUUUGGAAACUGUGCAGCUAGAGUGCAGGAGAGGUAAGUGGAAUUCCUGGUGAAGCGGUGAAAUGGGUAGAUAUUAGGGGGAACACAGGGGGCGAGGGCGGCUUACGGAACUGUAACUGACGUUGGGGCUCGAAAGCGUGGGAGCAAACAGGAUUAGAUACCCUUGUAGUC